GAUGAACGCUGGCGGCGUGCCUAAUACAUGCAAGUCGAGCGAACAGACGAGGAGCUUGCUCCUCUGACGUUAGCGGCGGAAGGGUGAGUAAAACGUGGAUAACCUACCUAUAAGACUGGGAUAAAUUCGGGAAACCGGAGCUAAAACCGGAUAAUAUAUUGAACCGCAUGGUUCAAUAGUGAAAGACGGUUUUGCUGUCACUUAUAGAUGGAUCCGCGCCGCAUUAGCUAGUUGGUAAGGUAACGGCUUACCAAGGCAACGAUGCGUAGCCGACCUGAGAGGGUGAUCGGCCACACUGGAACUGAGACACGGUCCAGACUCCUACGGGAGGCAGCAGUAGGGAAUCUUCCGCAAUGGGCGAAAGCCUGACGGAGCAACGCCGCGUGAGUGAUGAAGGUCUUCGGAUCGUAAAACUCUGUUAUUAGGGAAGAACAAAUGUGUAAGUAACUAUGCACGUCUUGACGGUACCUAAUCAGAAAGCCACGGCUAACUACGUG
This 497-nucleotide ribosomal RNA is filed under the name uncultured bacterium. RNAcentral's name for it is "partial 16S ribosomal RNA". It matches the Rfam family "Bacterial small subunit ribosomal RNA", at positions 28 to 507 of the family's 1533-position model. The record is from RNAcentral.